GGAUUGUUCACCCACCAAUAGGGAACGUGAGCUGGGUUUAGACCGUCGUGAAAAAAGUUAGUUUUACCUUACUGGUGACAGUGUCGCAAUAGUAAUUUAACCUAGUACGAGAGGAACCGUUGAUUCACACAAUUGGUCAUCGAGCUUGGUUGAAAAGCCAGUGGUGCGAAGCUACCGUGCACUGAAUUAUGACUGAACACCUCUAAGUCAAAAUCUGGGCUAGAAGCGACGCAUGCGCCCGCCGCCCGCUUGCUGACCCGCAGUAGGGGCCGUCCGACUCCCAAAGGCUCCGCCGCGUGGGCCGCCUUGAACUACAAUUUCUAUUUGGAGCGGCAGGUAGAAUCCUUUGUAGACGACUUAAAUACGCAACGGGGUAUUGUAAGUGGCAGAGUGUCCUUGCUGCCAUGAUCCACUAAGAUUCAGCCUUGCGUCGCUCCGAUUCCUCCCUCCC
This 451-nucleotide ribosomal RNA is filed under the name Camellia azalea. Its description in RNAcentral is "eukaryotic LSU rRNA". It matches the Rfam family "Eukaryotic large subunit ribosomal RNA", at positions 2926 to 3401 of the family's 3401-position model. Lineage: Eukaryota; Viridiplantae; Streptophyta; Magnoliopsida; Ericales; Theaceae. The record is from RNAcentral.